Molecule: long non-coding RNA, 1353 nt
Organism: Carassius gibelio (silver crucian carp)
Lineage: Eukaryota; Metazoa; Chordata; Actinopteri; Cypriniformes; Cyprinidae
Exons: 4
Source: RefSeq, a predicted model, not a curated record
AAUAUUUCCAAGCACUUUCAAUAUCUGGGAUUAAUGUAAUUUUGUCCCAGUCAAAUUGAUCGAGGUCAAAUGAUAUGCAAAAUAUUUCUCAAAUAUGUGUUUGUACAUUGCACUAGGAAUCUUACCGUUAAUUACAAACUCUUGGCUUUCUCUCUUUGACAUGUUUUUUUCGGUAUUCUGCAUCAACAAACCCAUUAAUGUAAAAACUCCCAGAGCCACCAGAGCAAAAGGUUGCCUGGUCAGCAAACCAUUCAGUGUCACAAAGACCUUUUUGGAACGAGGCAGAAAUUACCACAUAUACAAUAUUAAUAUUAUUAGAAUGUUUAACAUGUACCAUUUAAUUUUCAAUGACCUUACCUAUAUAGCAUUCAUCAAUCUAGACCUAAUAAAACCAAAAAUGAGUGAACCUCUCCUCUGUUUUUCUGUCCCACCCUGCAACAAUGAGAUGUGCUGAUAGUUCCUUUUUAUAUUUGUAUGAAAUGUUUUUGACAUUUCAGCAGAGUGGGUCAUCUUCCACCACAGUACUGUCAAGACACAUUAUUCAAGUAUAUUAUUCAACACAGAAGUCUACAGGACAUUGGUGAUGAAUACCUGUGCACAUCCAGUUUGACUAUCUCAGCAAUGGUUUGAAAAUCCGCUGCUGAUCCAGACAGAGCAGAUCUUAUCAUGGAGAGGGAAGAGCUUGUACAUCACACGAUUCACCAAUGACUCCCUGAGAACUAUUUCCAAACAGCAGUUCUUGGUUGUAGUAAUCUAAUUAAAAUAUUUACUGAAUGAAUGUGACUAUGACUAUCAUUGGCUGUUUGUCUUUGUGUAUUGUGUAGUUCUUGGAGCAAACACAAGAUGAUGAAGUAGUGGCAGAUAAAAUGUGUGCCAAGAUUCACUACAUUGCACCCAACAUAUAUUGUUGUGGAGCAGGAACAGCUGUGGACACAGAGAAGACAACCCUUCUCCAUGAACAGCGUCAGGAACCCAAGAGUCAUCAUGGCAGUUAACAUACUACAAGACGUGCUCUUCAGGUAUCGAGGCAUGAUUGGCGCUCAUCUAAUUUUAGGGGGUGUUGUCUGCGCUGUCUGUCACCUGUACACGGUUGGCCCUUGUGGGAGCAUGAACAAUGUGCCAUAUCUUGGAAUAGGGUCUGGUAAACUGCUUGCUAUGGGGAUAGAGGACAGAUUCAAAGGGAACAUGGAUGUAAGCUGUUUUUUUGUUGAACCUCAUUAUUGUUUGUUUCCUGAUGUCAGUAUUACUGUGUUCAGGGUGAAAUAAAUGCAACAGAAAAAAAGGUAUUUUCUACUCUCAAAAAGUUGCUUCAAGGGGUCAUAAAUUGCAUUUUUUAAUAUUUGAUGAUGUUUC